GGGACACGGGCGUUGUUGUCGUGGCAACUUGGACUGUCGGCGAUGCCAGGAAGCAGAGGAUCCAGUUUGUUGGCGGCACUGAACUGUGACAACAUUCAUCAUCGUCAUCAGGGGGCUAGGAGGCUCCGCCCACCAAUCAAAGGUUCGGACUCGCGGUGCACAAGUUCUGACCUGCAGCCGUGCCGUGAUGGACUCCAGCUGGACGUUGACGUUGUCCCAUCGCUGGCCGCACUCCCUCGCCGCCGCCAGCAGACGGGCCCGCAUGGCGCCCUGAAACAGCAGAGUCAGCGUUCGAUUCCUCUGGGUCAUCCCGUCCAACUGCACCAGCCGAGAUCCCGCCUCGCAACGCAGCCUCUGUGAUCACACACACACACACACACACACACACACACACACACACACACACACACACACACACACACACACACACACACACACACACACACACACACACACACACACACACACACACACACACACGGAAAGUUCUGCGUGGUUCUACAAGUCAUAAUUGCUUUCCAGGCCCAGGAUGUUAAGGGCGGAACAUUUUUGCUGCUUGGUGAUGUCGUUCUCCUCACCUCUAACCUCCUCAGCUCCUCCUCAGCGCUCGUGUACGUGACCCGGGUCCAGCUCUGGGAGACGACGGCCUGUUCGGCCAAUCGCAGCCAAGCGUCCACGUGGGCGUGUUCCUUCAUGAAGGCGUGCCACAGCAGCCAGCGGCUCUCCAGCCUGGAGGUCGCCAUCUUGGUCCCGGCGGCCGUCACUCGCCGACGGAUCUGACACAGACGCAGGCGGGGAUUCCUCAGUGGUCACAUGGUGGAAGGCGUUGGAAGGGGGCGUGUCUGAUCCAGACAUCACCUUGUGUUCACCUUCUAGAGAACACAACGUUGUUAACAACCUGCAAUACCGCACUACAGCCUGAGGGG
Entelurus aequoreus (snake pipefish) is the source of this 926-nucleotide long non-coding RNA. RefSeq lists it as uncharacterized. The record is from RefSeq and is a predicted model, not a curated record. The transcript has 3 exons. Lineage: Eukaryota; Metazoa; Chordata; Actinopteri; Syngnathiformes; Syngnathidae.